This 260-nucleotide unclassified non-coding RNA is filed under the name Basidiomycota sp. RNAcentral describes it as "partial contains small subunit ribosomal RNA, internal transcribed spacer 1, and 5.8S ribosomal RNA". The stretch from base 1 to 47 matches the Rfam family "Eukaryotic small subunit ribosomal RNA", at positions 1785 to 1831 of the family's 1831-position model. The record is from RNAcentral. Lineage: Eukaryota; Fungi; Basidiomycota.
AAAGUCGUAACAAGGUUUCCGUAGGUGAACCUGCGGAAGGAUCAUUAACAAAUCAUGAUGUAUGGCAGUAGUAGCAAUACUCUGCUAAUACAAUAUCAACCCGAACCUGUGUUCCAGUAACAUGGAACCAGGCAAGGUGUGGGCUUCGGCCCGCGGUGACGACGCAAGUCUGAUCCACAUAGACGCUUGUUUUUGUUUGACAGAUUUCAAUUGUAUCCAAAAUUAAAUGACAACUUUUAACAAUGGAUCUCUUGGCUCUU